RNAcentral lists this ribosomal RNA (253 nucleotides) under uncultured bacterium. Its description in RNAcentral is "partial 16S ribosomal RNA". It matches the Rfam family "Bacterial small subunit ribosomal RNA", at positions 524 to 776 of the family's 1533-position model. The record is from RNAcentral.
UACGUAGGGGGCGAGCGUUGUCCGGAGUUACUGGGCGUAAAGGGCGCGCAGGCGGUCUGGUGAGUUUGGAGUGACAGUGCUCGGCUUAACUGAGCAAGGCCUUCGAAAACUGUCAGACUUGAGCACUCAAGAGGGACAUAGAAUUCCGGGUGGAGUGGUGAAAUGCGUAGAUAUCCGGAGGAAUACCAAAGGCGAAGGCAGUGUCCUGGGGAGUGUCUGACGCUCAGGCGCGAAAGCUAGGGGAGCGAACAGG